RNAcentral lists this ribosomal RNA (422 nucleotides) under uncultured bacterium. RNAcentral's name for it is "bacterial SSU rRNA". It matches the Rfam family "Bacterial small subunit ribosomal RNA", at positions 355 to 774 of the family's 1533-position model. The record is from RNAcentral.
UGAGGAAUAUUGGUCAAUGGGGGCAACCCUGAACCAGCCAAGUCGCGUGAAGGAUGAAGGUCUUAUGGAUUGUAAACUUCUUUUACACGGGAAUAAAGUGGGGGACGUGUCCCCCUUUGCAUGUACCGUGUGAAUAAGGAUCGGCUAACUCCGUGCCAGCAGCCGCGGUAAUACGGAGGAUCCGAGCGUUAUCCGGAUUUAUUGGGUUUAAAGGGUGCGCAGGCGGGAUGUUAAGUCGGCGGUGAAAUUUUGCAGCUCAACUGUAAAAGUGCCUUCGNUACUGGCCUCCUUGAGUGUGGAUGAAGUAGGCGGAAUUUGUGGUGUAGCGGUGAAAUGCUUAGAUAUCACGAGGAACUCCGAUUGCGCAGGCAGCUUACUAAGCCACAACUGACGCUCAUGCACGAAGGCGUGGGGAUCAAACA